This 428-nucleotide ribosomal RNA is filed under the name uncultured crenarchaeote. RNAcentral describes it as "bacterial SSU rRNA". It matches the Rfam family "Archaeal small subunit ribosomal RNA", at positions 48 to 451 of the family's 1478-position model. Lineage: Archaea; Thermoproteati; Thermoproteota. The record is from RNAcentral.
GCCAUGCGAGUUGUCGUUUCUAGGCCAUGGUGGAUACGUAGCGUACGGCUCAGUAUCAUGUGGCUAACUUACCCUUGAGACGAGGAUAACCCCGGGAAACUGGGGCUAAUACUCGAUAGGUGGGGAGGCUUGGAAUAGUUCUCCACUCAAAAGUGAUUGAGACCAUGCUUCUCGAUCUCGCUUAAGGAUAGGGCCGCACCCGAUCAGGUUGCUGGUGAGGUAACGGCUCACCAGGCCUAUAACCGGUACGGGCCGUGAGAGCGGGAGCCCGGAGAUGGGCACUGAGAUAAGGGCCCAGGUCCUACGGGGCGCAGCAGGCGCGAAACCUCCGCAAUGUGCGGAAGCAUGACGGGGUCAUCCCGAGUGUCACCCGCUGAGGGUGACUUUUGCCUGGUGUAACGAGCCGGGCGAAUAAGCGGGGGGCAAAA